Long non-coding RNA from Papaver somniferum (opium poppy), 226 nucleotides. RefSeq lists it as uncharacterized. The transcript is spliced from 3 exons. NCBI's taxonomy places the organism in Eukaryota, Viridiplantae, Streptophyta, Magnoliopsida, Ranunculales, Papaveraceae. The record is from RefSeq and is a predicted model, not a curated record.
UUCAUCUUCAGUUUAUACUGGAAUCUCUCAUCGGUUCCGGCUAGAUAACGAGAGGUUGAAGCAGGUGAAAUAUGAAGAGGCUACUGGUACUGCCGAAGAAGUCCGUUUUAUUGUACCAGCUCAGGUGUCCGUUCGGAUCCUGCUCCAGCUGCAGUUGGUCCUCUUCCCGGUUUAGCACAUGUCCCAGAAAAACAGUGUCUGGAGGCAUAUCUCGCAGAGAUUCGUA